UACAGAGGAUGCAAGCGUUGUCCGGAAUUAUUGGGCGUAAAGGGCGCGUAGGCGGCUAGAUGUGUCAAAGGUGAAAUCCCUCGGCUCAACUGAGGAACUGCCUUUGAAACUGUCUGGCUUGAGGCCGGGAGAGGGUAGCGGAAUUCCCAGUGUAGCGGUGAAAUGCGUAGAUAUUGGGAGGAACACCAGUGGCGAAGGCGGCUACCUGGACCGGUUCUGACGCUGAGGCGCGAAAGCGUGGGUAGCAAACAGG
Molecule: ribosomal RNA, 253 nt
Filed under: uncultured bacterium
Lineage: Bacteria
Description: partial 16S ribosomal RNA
Rfam family: Bacterial small subunit ribosomal RNA
Source: RNAcentral